RNAcentral lists this long non-coding RNA (3414 nucleotides) under Mus musculus (house mouse). Its description in RNAcentral is "long non-coding RNA chr2:3716406-3719820". Lineage: Eukaryota; Metazoa; Chordata; Mammalia; Rodentia; Muridae. The record is from RNAcentral.
UCCCCGGUCUAAUCUUUUCCUCUUCUUGCUUUUCCUGUUUAAAGCAAUCUCUUAUUUUCUCUUUUCCUUUCUGUGGAGAAGUGCUGGGCCUUUUCCAUCUGAACUUUUCCUCACAGUGAGUACUUACUGAGUGCACUUAAAGGGAUGAAUGCUUUUAUCCAUCGGUGCCUCACCCCUGAAAGAAUACAUUUAUUUGGGAAACUGACUUGGGUUACCUUUGGAAAUGGUAAAUCAAUGGGGGCUGUUUCUGAGGUUGCUGGAGGAGGCCAGACACUGAGUUUGUUGUAGUUAACAAGAUGAACUUGGUCCUUGUGGCAGAGUAUGUGAGGAUGAUAUUUUAAGAAUUGUACAAAGUGACCCCCACGUUAUUUAAUAGCUGAGACUUUCAGAGCUGUGAAUAGGAAUUAGCACUGUUUGAUUUAAGCUCCUUUAGGAAGAAUGAGAGAAACCACAGGGAAACAUGGGGAAUACGUUCCUAAUCCUGUAAGGCAGAUACUUGGGAUACCCUGGGAACAUGAGUUGCCCAGGGCUAGCUGGGCAUAGUUGAACUAACUGAUGAGGUAGACUGCUGUGUUUUGUCUAGAAUUUGGCUGGGAUAUUGGGACAGUUUCUAGUGCAGCUUCAUUGUCCCCACUGAAGGGGUCAGUAGGGCCAUCAGGGAGUCAAUUGUUGUAGUGAUGUGGUGUCCUGACUUAGAGAUUCUGAGAAAUGAGUGUUGGUGUCACACAGAGAUCAGCAGACUACAGCUGUGUUUCCCUCCAUUUCUGGAAAUUCUAUUACAGAUGAAGAGACAGCUAGAGGAGCUUGUGGGAAAAUAGAUACUGGCUUGAGAGUGUUCCCAAACUCAGCUGGAAUACAGGAAGGAAGAGGGGAUAGGGCUGCAUUUAAAGCAGAGGAAUGCCGGACAGUUCUAGCAAAGAUGUCACUCAAAGUGGAGUAUCAGGCGACGAGCAGCUGUACAGCUGGGCCUGUGGUUGGCCUGCCGUAUGUAGUGGUGUGUGUGUGUGUGUAUGUGUGACUUAUGUGAGAUCACAAAGGACAUGUGCACUGGCAUUGAUGACAGUAAUACUCACUCCACACUCCACAGGCAUGGAGCAGCAAUAGAGCUUGCUGCAGGGGUUAAGGAGGCCCUCCUCAGCCCCCCUCCUUGGGCUGCUGUUGAUUAAGCCUUUGCUGGUCAUGAGACACAGAAAGCUUUAGUUAGGGAAUUUGCGGGGCCUCUGUAAGCUUCCUAAGAAUGAGUUAUUAAGACUUCUCUCUAACAGGAGAGAAUACAGCUUACAGUUUGAUGACCUCUAAGUAAGUCACAUAGCCCCUGUGAACUUUUCUAAUUUGUGAGGCUAAUGUGAACUUGGUAAUACUGACCUCCUAUGAUGCGGUAGGUAAAGACCAUCCUGAGGCAGUGGCAUUCCAAGGCAUGGUCCCUGAGACUUGGCCAAUCACCAAGUUGUUGAUGCUUUCCUGUCAGUGUCUGUGGCCUUGUAAAAGUGCACUUAAAAGUUUGUCAUGAUAGGGCGCUGAGAGAUGGCUCAGUUGGUAAAGCAUUUCCUUCACAAACAUGAGAACCUGAGAACGGCUUGCCAGCACCCAUGUACAGAGCCCCUGGGCAGGGGAUGAUUGUAAUCUAGGUUCAGGGAGGCAGACAAAGGAGAGUACCUGGGUCGUGUGUGUUACUGCUAACCACAGGCUUGGUUCUGAGCAGCUACUCUCUAAAAGUGAUAGCUUGACUGAAACUUUACGGCUGUUGACUGGAAGUCCCCUUUUCUUCUCUCCUCAGCCUCUUUCAGCUGUCAUUCUUCCCUUUGAGUCUGUGAGCUUGACUCUUGGAUACUUCAUAGAAAUGUGACUGUGCACCCCUGGCUCCUGUGCAAUGGGCUUCCUUCCCUCAGUAUGACACCUUCAAGAUUAAGGUUGUAGCAUACUGUAGGCUGAGUAGCAUUCUAUUGUAAGUGUAUACUAUAUUGAUCCAAAACCUGCAACCUGUUGGUAGAUAGAUAGGUGUUCCCACAAGACUUCUAGAAGAGAACAGGAAGCCUCUAUGCUAUUGGCCUUAGGGGUGAUCUCGUGGCUGUGACACCCAGAACACAGCAAAAAACAGAGUGAAUGGACCCCGUCGAAGCAGCGCAGCAAAGCUGUGAGCAGAAAGGAAGGACAAUCUGCAGAGUUAGUUAUGGUUCCCCAGCCAUUUAGCUAAAGAGGGCUCUUCUCCAAGUCUGUCAAGAACUUCAGUAGUGAAAAAACCCAAUUAAGGGCUUCGGAGCAGAGUCGGCAUUGCGCGCAGCCUUGUAACUGAGCGUUUUAGUAAGGCAGCAUGCCAUGGGCGCCAUAGGGAUGCUUGAAGAGGGCAGGGCUCCAUCCCUCUCUUCACCUUGCUUUUCUUCUUGUCAUGUUCGCUGGAGCAUUUUAAAGAUUACCUGGCUGUGAUGUUAGGAUGUCCAUGUUGUCUUCUCUUCUUGCACUCAGGUUUUGGCCUCCUUCCUGAAGUGUCAUAAUGAGGUCUGUAAGAGUGAAGGCUAUUGUUUAUGGGACGGAUCCCCAGGUUGGGCAGUCUCUGGAUGGUCCUUCCUUCAGUCUCAGCUCUGAACUUUGUCUCUGUAACUCCUUCCAUGGGUAUUUUGUUCCCCCUUCUAAGAAGGAUCCAAGUAUCCACACUUUGGUCUUCCUUCUUGAGUUUCAUGUGGUUUGCAAAUUGUAUCUUUGGUAUUCCGAACUUCUGGGCUAAUAUCCACUUAUCAGUGAGUGCAUAUCAUGUGUUCUUUGUGAUUGGGUUACCUCACUCAGGAUAAUAUCCUCCAGACCCAUCCAUUUGCCUAAGAAUUUCAUAAAUUCAUUGUUUUUAAUAGCUACGUAGUACUCCAUUGUGUAAAUGUACUACAUUUUCUGUAUCCAUUCCUCUGUUGAGGGACAUCUGGGUUCUACUGCGGAUGCCAACAAGAGCUUGCUGACAGAAGACUGAUAGAGCUGUCUCCCGAGAGGCUCUGUCAGUGCCUGACAAAUACAGAAUGGAUGCUCACAGCCAUCCAUUGGACAGAGCACAGGGUCCCCAAUGAAGGAGCUAGAGAAAGGACCCAAGGAGCUGAAGGGGUUUGCAGCCCCAAAAGAGGAACAACAAUAUGAACUAACCACUAUCUCCAGAGCUCCCUGGGACUAAACCACCAACCAAAGAAAACACAUGAUGAGACUCUUGGCUCUAGCUGUAUAUGUAGCAGAAGAUGGCCUAGUCAGUCAUCUAUGGGAGGAGAGGCCCUUUGUCCUGUGAAGGUUCUAUGCCCCAGUAUGGGGAAAUGCCAGGGCCAGGAAGUGGAAGUGGGUGGGUUGGUGAGCAGGGGGAGGGGAGAAGGGAUAGGGGGUUUUCGGAGGGGAAACCAGGAAAGGAGAUAACAUUUGAAAUGUAAAUAAAGAAAAUACCUAAUU